Molecule: ribosomal RNA, 468 nt
Filed under: uncultured bacterium
Lineage: Bacteria
Description: partial 16S ribosomal RNA
Rfam family: Bacterial small subunit ribosomal RNA
Source: RNAcentral
GACGAACGCUGGCGGCGUGCUUAACACAUGCAAGUCGAACGGAAAGGCCCUGCUUUUGUGGGGUGCUCGAGUGGCGAACGGGUGAGUAACACGUGAGUAAUCUGCCCUUGACUUUGGGAUAACUUCAGGAAACUGGGGCUAAUACCGGAUAGGAGCUCGUGCUGCAUGGUGGGGGUUGGAAAGUUUCGGCGGUUGGGGAUGGACUCGCGGCUUAUCAGUUUGUUGGUGGGGUAGUGGCUUACAAAGGCUUUGACGGGUAGCCGGCCUGAGAGGGUGACCGGCCACAUUGGGACUGGGAUACGGCCCGAACUCCUACGGGAGGCAGCAGUGGGAAAUAUUGCACAAUGGGCGGAAGCCGAAGGCAGCAACGCCGCGUGCGGGAUGACGGCCUUCGGGUUGUAACCCGCUUUCGCCUGUGACGAAGCGUGAGUGACGGUAAUGGGUAAAGAAGCACCGGCUAACUACGUG